Homo sapiens (human) is the source of this 2358-nucleotide long non-coding RNA. Ensembl annotates it as TRHDE antisense RNA 1. Its record names the gene TRHDE-AS1. The record is from Ensembl. Lineage: Eukaryota; Metazoa; Chordata; Mammalia; Primates; Hominidae.
GCACAGCGAGCAUUGUGACCGCGAGCAAUGCCACGAGGGACACAGCGAAGGCCAGCACAAGCCGCUUGUGUACGGCGAUGUGGCGCUCCGUGGUGCGGGGUCGCACUCCCACUGAGUCUGCCCACGGGUCGGAGAGCCCCCUGCUGCCAGCCCGAAGCGCGGCGUCGUCUUCCCCCAUCGCGGCUGCGAAGGCGGCGGCGUUCGGUCCUCUGGGUGGAAUGUGCUCGCAGCAGCAGUGACGGCGGCCACAGCACGGGAGGCACCCGAGCCAUACACCCUGCAGCUGGAGAGAAAAGGAUGGCCGAGGUGGGAGAGACUAGAGUGAACCAGCAGGAGGAAGUCCCAGGGCCGCGAAGCUACGACGGAGAUCCGUCCUGGAAAAGCCUUCUCCACCCUGGGCACUUUAAGCGGCGGUGGCGGCAAACGGCAGGAGGUUGCAGACCCGACAGCGAGACUCCCUCAUUCCAGUCUUGCUCUGCCCUCCGGAGAUGACAAGUGAGAAAGAAGUGUCCGGCCGGGCCAUCCCCUUCAGAGAAGCAACCACUUCACAAGAAGAUUCUGAAGUUGGCCAUUUUUGAUCCCAGAACAGUUUCUCAUAGAUUAGAAAUAUUGGAGUCUACACAAAAAUCGAUAUUCAUUUACAAGAUCAUCACUAAACUUAUCUUGCAUAACGUCUCUGCCAGCCACAUUAACUGCCUGCAGAAAAGUUUGUUAUGACUGCCUGGUUUUGUAAAGUCCAGACAACUUUACACUAAGCUGAAUAAUGUUCAUUUACUCAAAAGCUAGUCUAAAAUUGUAGAGUUAAUGAACACUAAACCAAAGUUAGUGCUUUAACUGAAAGAUAAUUUACUGUACCCUUUGGAGUCCAGUCCGGUACCAUCAAGAUCUGGGAAAAUACAACUGUUACCAAGAAUAACUGUAAAAUGUGCUGGGAAUGCAAUGUCCUGAGAUAAGGAAGAACUGCCUGAAACAGCCUGGAUCUUAUUCCUGUACUUCCUAGGGAAUGUAACAUCUCAAGUUAAAGAGGAACUGCCCGGAACAGCCCGGGGAUUGUUCCUCUCUCCUGAGAAGGAAGAUUACCUCCAAAGCUCAUCCACUGAGUCACACUGCCCCUGUGGUGGAGGGCGGGCUGCCUUUCCAGGUUCCUCAGCUGUGGUGUAACUGAAGCAGGCACAAUCAAGACUCCAUCUGCUCGAGGCAGCUUUCUCGAACCUUGGGGAACCUACUCACAAUGGAUCACAGGCUUCUUUUGUUUUGUUUCUUGCUGCCUAUCUUGGGAAGCAAAAAUCAGCUGAGUGAAGAUGAGGAAGAAGGUGUUAAAGGUUUGAAGAAAAAAGGAAAAGGAUAUACUAAUCUAAGAGGACAAGUAAGUAGAACAUAGAUAAUGAAAAUGCUGGCCCUUAGGACUGUUGGGCCUAAAUGCUCAUAUUAUAUUGGUAGUCACAAAUUUGAACUUUCUCUAGAGCCAAUUUUUGCAUGUGUGUGCAGGCCUGGAGUAGUUGGAGAGUUGGAUUUAAUAGAAUUGAGGGUCAAGCAACUACAACCAGGGAAGAGUGGGACAAGGGAGAUAAAGGAUAUUGGCAGGGGAGCAAUUAUAAACAUGGACCAUGAUCAAAACUGGACAGGAAGGAAAAUAGAGAUAAGAGGGGUGGAAGGUUAAAAAUAGUGAAAAUGAGAUAGAAUGAAUAGGUUGUAGGUCCCUGUAAAGUUGAAGAAGUAUUAUUAUGCAGUACUCGUUAUUGAAAUGAGGUCACUAUGCUUAAGGCACAGUGAAUCCUAGAAAAUAGUGGUUUUGUUUCUCAUUAGGCAAUACAUUCCUCCUUGCUCCAGAAUGCAACAUACAUGUAUCCUUUUCUGUACUAUUUUUUAUUAAGAAUUCAUACUUAAUUCCACUGACUGCCACUCAAUUUUAAUGUACAGUAGGGAAUUCCUGUACUAUGUAUUAUGAAUCCAUUCCUUUGAAUUUCAUUUAUAAUACUUCAUGACUGACACCUGGCUUUCCACCAAGACUCAAUUUUCAUAGCAAGCCUCAUCAUCAUAAGCCCCCAAAUUAACAGGAUGAGGAGGAAGAAUUGGCAGGCUAAAGAAGAUGAUUAUAUCAAUUAAUGCAGAAAAAGCAUUUGAUAAAAUCCAAUAUUCAUUUGUAAUUAAAAACUCUCAGCAAGUUAGGGAUAGGAAUUACUUCAACUUAAUGAAGAGUGUCUUUAAAAACCUUAUUUUCAUCAGUUAUAACAAAUGUACCACUCUGGUGGUGAAUGUUGCUAAGGAGGGAAGCUAUACAUGUGUGGGGAAAGGAGAUGUGUGAGCAAUUUCUGUACCUUCUACUCAAUCUUCUGUGAGACUAAAAUUGCUGUAAAA